GAGAAGCCAACACAGGAAUUGGUUAUGCAAGUGCUGAAGUGCUAGGUCAGCAAGAAUAAGAGGGGAACUAGGGUAGUGAAAAGCAAAGAGGGGGUAAUUGUUUCUGGUCUGGCUUCUUUAGUUUUUAUGUUCUGAUAUGGCAAUAUGGGUGGUUUCUUCCCAUCUUUGGAGAAAGCAUAAUUUCGUGAUUCAGGCUUAUUUGUGGACAUCUUUGAAGAAGGUUAUGGAAUAAAAGCAGCAUAGUCUUCAGUCACAGAAGAGAUGUUGACUCCUAGGUUCCAGAAAUAGUGAGUUCUGUACGAAUGAAGCGUAAAAAGAAUCCUGGAUAAUAUUUAGGUCUGUGUUUUCUUCUUUCUAGACAGUGUGGAGUUACAUCCCCAAUCUCACUUUACAGACUGACAUAUGUCCACAAACCAGAUGUCAAAUAGCACCAGAGAGAUUAUGAACAAGAAUAAUGGAGCUGGCAUGGCCCUGAGGCAAGACCAUGAAAUUGAAAUGUUGUUCCAGCCAGAUAAUAGAAAACAACUAUGUUGUUACAUGUAAUCUGGUAUAAAGGAGAAGAGACAUUGGCCAGAUGGGUAACUGCAAACCAAGUGAUGGGUAAAAUUUGCUCUAGGUGAAAGCAAAUGUAUCUGGACAAGAACUUGUAAUUAGAUCUGCCAUCAGAUUGAAAUUAUUAUUGUUUAUAACUUAUUGGGAUUCAUUUGCCCGUUUCACAGGGAAAAUGCUAGGUUUUGGGGAAAUGUGAUAGGAAUCUUUAUCUCUGAGUUUUCCAUAUGUUUUAUUGUGGCAUCAAUUUCUACUUUCUCAAAAUUUGUGCUCUUAUAUGUUUGUCAUCAUGAUAAGAAUAAUUAGUAGUGCUCUUCAGGCUAUAAUAGUAUAUAUGAACAUUUAACUAAUUAUGCAUACCUGGACCCUCUUCUUAGUGAAUGGAGAUAAAAUAAUUACAUCUGGAUUAAGGUGUAAACUGGGUUUGGCCAAAAUGAAGGGUAAGUAAAAAUAUUUCUCAUUCCAGAAGUUCAGGGGCAAAUGUUAGAAUUAUGGAAGCAUUAAUUCCUCCUACUCAAAUUAAGAAUUAAAUAAUUUGUAAACUAAUUACAUGGGACUUCAAACUCAUUAUAGCACUGUGAAAUUGCCAUGUAUUAAAAACUCAAUUUAUUUUCAUAUUACUAUAGGCAAUGUUUUGGUUUUGGUACUUGGAAAAUAAGAUGAUAUCAAAGUUAAUGUCUAUUUGUCUUCAGAAUUUCUGAAUAUUUCUCAUUUUCCAUCAUUAUUUGACUUUUGUUACAGUCUCAUCUCCAAAGGAGAGCACUGCAAUCAUAGUUUCACCAAAUAUGGUCAAUGUUGUAGGCUAUUCCCAGAGUGGAAUAUAGCUCCUCAUUGAAUCAAGAGGUUAUGAAAUUUUGAAUAAACUAUAGUCCAUUCAUUUCUUGAGAUAUUACUAUUCUUCACAAAUAAGGCUUUGUUAAACCUGAAAGUAAUUUAUAAAAUAUAUCAAGUCAUAAUUUAGCAUAUUGGCUUCAUAUUUAUUGCUAAUUAUUCAUCAUUAUUUUGCCACUGCAAAGAUGUUGUUGCUCAAAGUAUUUUGCUUACUACUUCAUUCUUGAUGUCUAUUAUUCUAUUUAAGCUUACUUUGUCUCUGUUGAUUAAGCACUAAUAUUUGCUUUCUAUUGCACUGGAUGUAAUCAUAUUUAUGAAAAUCAUGUUACUCAUAUCAAGGAUGCUUUUCGAUGCUUUUCCCAACAUUAUUUAUGGUCUUCACCUGAGCCACAACAGAGAUUUUUGAGGAUGAUGGUCCACUCAGUAAUGCAACUUAAGCUUUAGUUAAGUGAAUAUAUUUCUCUUGGUAUGCUUGAGCACUUAACGGGCAGAUGGGAGUGCCAGAGCACAUGGUAAAUACACUCAUGCAUUCUAUUUCUCUAAACCCUGGGUUUUCUUCUCUUAAUUAUUCUAGGAAAUCUACAGUAUAUCAACCUAAUUAAAUCUAAGCUAACAUAAUUUAAAAUCAAGGUCAGCUUACAAGUAUCGUGGAUAAUAUAUAUGCCACCAUUCUGAGAGUUCCACCCAUCUUCUGAAUGCUUAAUCUCAUAUACUAUAGAUUUCAGCCUUCAAAGUCUAAUUCAGAUCCUUUGUAUAUAUUCUGUUUUGAUUAAAUGUUUUGACACAUGGGAUAUGUUAUAGUAAGUGUUUUGACAUCCUUGUCUGCUAAUAUAAAAUGGCUCCAGUUUGAUUGUUUCACAUUUCUCCUAUUAUAUAUUAUUUUUCUACUUCUUUCCAUGCUUAUCCGGCUAUUUAUUAUUUUUUUGUGUUUGUCAAAUUUUCUGAUUAUUACUUUCCUGUGUUCUGAGUGGUUUUGCAUCUCAUGCAUAUUCUUAGAUGCUUUUUUCUGGGAUAUAGUUAAGUGUGUGUGUGUGUGUGUAUGUGUGUGUGUGUGUAAUUGUGUGUGUGUUUCUCCUGAUUCUUCAUCUUGCUGCCUUGAUCUCUGAAAGCUCUCAGCUUUUUCUCUUCAUCUUCUGGAAUCUGAGAGGCAUUGCAUGAAUUUUUCCACCUUGGACCAUAAACUAGAAACUCUCAGGUCAUUAACAUAUACCUCUCAGGUAUUAUUGGUCUUAUUGCUUCUAUCUAAUAUUUGAAAACUUAUUAUUAAUCUAUUUUGUCAACAUUUGCCUAUACCCUAAAGGAGAUAAAUAAGCUCCUACAAAUUUUAAAAUCCAAAUAAUUUGUGAAUACAGGGCUGAUGUUUUGAUUUCUAUAAGCAUUUAGAAGAUUAGUGGAUCUCUCAAAAUAUAGGCAUUUUUAUUAUCCACAAUACUUGUAAGCUGACCUUGAUUUUGAAUUGUGUUAGCUUAGAUUUAAUUAGGUUGAUAUACUGUAGGUGUCCUAGAAUAACAAAAAGAAGAACGCAGAGUUUAGAGAAAUAGAAGGCAUGAAUGUAUUUACCAUGUGCUGCUGGCACACCCAUCUGCCUGUUAAGUGAUUAAUAAGGAGUCUAAUAAACACAUGUCAGAAAAGAGUAGUAAAACUGUGACAGCUAAGAAAAAUAUUGAACUUCUAAAUACCGCAAUAUGUAAUGUUAAUAUACUUGUCUUUAUAUUAUUAAGUUUGUAAAAUAUGAUUUUCGUAUAGUAUUUUUAAUGGAGAAAGGAAAUGAGAAAGACAAAAGUGACCAGGGCCUGUAAAAGCCAUAAUGCAGUCUCAUGUUAACCUCUUGCUCUUUUCCAUUAUUUAAUAUAGAACUUUGUAUUUGAUUCUCUGUCUUCUUUUCUAUUCAGAAACAACUUACCAUUUGCAAUGCUUUUAACAGUCAAGUGGAUAAACUCUACAGUACCUUGGUUUGCUUUUUUAAAAAUUAUCAACACUAGUUAUAUAAAAUGCCAAUGUACUUCAGGUGCUCACUCCCAUAGCCUGAAAUGAUAUCUUGCCAUUAUUCAGAGACAUUGUAUUCUGAAAGAGUAGAUUCAAAUUCUUCAUCUUUAGACCAUAAUAUUUUUAAUAUUCUGGGAGUCUAAUUUUAUAACUAAUACAGUUCUUCACCCUCUAAACUUGUGACUUUAGCCAUUGAUCUCAAUUCAAUCUCUGUAUCUGUCCUGAUUUCUAUACUUGGUUAGAGAAAUUUCUAUGAUUUUUCGCAAUGUUUGUCAACUGAUAUAACUCAACUGUUAUAUCUUCUAUAUAUAAAUAAAGCAAUCCUAACUGAA
Molecule: long non-coding RNA, 3698 nt
Organism: Ictidomys tridecemlineatus (thirteen-lined ground squirrel)
Lineage: Eukaryota; Metazoa; Chordata; Mammalia; Rodentia; Sciuridae
Source: RefSeq, a predicted model, not a curated record